UAUAAUUCGUGAUCUUAGGGUUAGGUCCGUGACUAUUUUCGUUUGUGAUAUUUAGGGUUUUUGUGAGAGAGAUUUGUGAUGUCUUAGUUUUAUGGGAUGUGGAAGGGGUUGAAUAUGGUGAUGAUACAAGAGUAUUGUGGACUAGAGUUUCAGAUCUGGGAUUCUUCUCCCAGAAGUUGAAGAUUAACCCUUGGCUGUCUGAGUAUUAAUUCCCCUUUCACUCAAUAUCUUAUCUUUUGAUUGAUUUGAAGAUAAAUUUCUCUGUUAUUGUUUUUUUUGUUGGUUGAUGUUUUUUUUUACUUAUGAGCUGAUGAUGAAAAAAAACAAUUAUCUUAGCGGAUUUCAGUGAGGUUUUUGAAUCAAUGAACUGAAUUUGUUACACACACUGAAGCUUAUUUGUUCUUUCAAUGUUUUUUGUUUUGUUUUGUUGGAUUACUGUUAUGGGUUUGAUGAUGAUGAUGCAAUGAUGAGAUAAAAGCACGAAGAGUGUGAGAAGAGCAGUGGGUUUACCGUGAGCUCUCCUUUAAAACGACUUCUCCUUCCACUGAGCAUUUUUUAUCAAAAAUUUUGCCCUAUUGAAGAAAGAGUUUUAGUGUUUUUUGUUUUUGUAUUGGCGUCCAUUACCAAUUCUGAGGGAUAAAAACAGUUCCUUCAGGUAUAAUGGCUUGUGACGCUAUAUUGGUUGUGGUAUAUCCUGAUCUUUUUGCUUUUUUCCAUGCCUUUUGAUCCUGGAAAUGCCUCGCACAUUAUAUCAAUUGGUUUUACUUUUAUCUGAUGCUGGUAAUUACUUUAUUCUAAUGACAACCAACUAUGCUACAUACAUGCAUCUCUUUCUGUCAAAAUUGUUACAUUGUUCAUUUAUAUUAUAUGAUAGUGUUAUCUCGGUGGGCAGAGGGAAGUUGGUUGCGUUAGCUUCUCUAGUAUAUCCGUUUCACAGUUUUUCCUCUGUUGAAUUCUUGCACUAGCUUUCAUAUGGGCCAUAUUAAGUUACAUGUGGGUGGGUGCCGUAACAGUGCAGCAACCAUUCUGCUAGCUUGUGCAAGAGUUUAAAAGUGGUGAAACUUUUAUUUGGAUAAUCGAAUUGGUUGAGGAGUCUAACAAGUGAUAGUAGCUAAAGAGGCUAGAGGGACGCUAGAAAAAGAACAAACCAUGAGCGUAUGAAAUUACUUUAAAACAAUACCCCAUGCCCCAUGAACUAUUAUUCUUCUUCCUCUCUUGUAGAUGAGGCAUUCGGUAUCUUCCUCUACUUUAUCUUCUUCAGUGUCCUUCACUACUACAACUUCUCCAAGCUUCCUUCCAAAUUAUGCUAUCUAUUUCACAUUACGGGGCUUCCGAUUCAACUAAUUUUAAACACAGAAUCCAAAGCCUGCUUGACAACAAAAUGCACAUCUAGAGGAAAUCAGAUUCACCAAAUUCUAAAAAUUAGAAAUCUCAACUUGCCUUUAUUUUAAGCUUCUCACAUCCCACCAUUUUCAUCCAAAGCCUGCUAGACAACCAAAUGCACAUCUAAUCAGAGAUAAAGGAAAACUUGAGGGAUACGUAUAUUUGGAAGCAAUAUGAUCCUGACAUACAUUAUGUGUAUGGUCCUCACUCUUGAGAUGCGUGUUGAAAUCUUCAAAGCUUUGGCCAGCAAAAUCGCACAUUGAGCAGCACGACCAGGGAGACUCACCCGUUUCACUUCACUUGUCCUGAAGAACAAGUCUUGUUGUCAACUUUUUAUCCCCUGCAGACCCUGAAUCCAUAUCAUCUGUUGAAAAAACAAACUAGUUCAGAAACAGCUUUGCUGGCUAUUUCAAAGCUGCGUGAGAGAGAGAGGGUAAGGAAAAACACCUGCUAGUAACUAGUAAGCUUUUCCAGAGCCAUUCUUAUUAAACCCCAGACAUAAAGUUUUUCCAGAGCCAGUCUGGAGCUGGAUGGCGUUGAGGAUAUGCCAGAAGAAUUGUGUAUCCAUCAAUAUUAGGCCAUAAAGAGUACGAGCUAAGCUUUCCAUUCACGACCAGAUAUGAGCAUUAUAUUAGCCGGAGGUGGAUUCCUCUCCACCCACUCAAACAAAUCCGUUUGAAGUUCUGUUUCAGUAAAGAACUUGACCAGAAGAGGCAGAGAUUGACGAGAGAGACCAUAUUGGGUCAUAUUCAUGGAUUUUGGGGACUGCAUUUCUUUGAGAGCUUUAGAGUGUCAUAACCUUUUAGUUGGUCGAAGGUUUUGCAGUUUGUCUUUCUAACAAUUUUAGAAGAAAAAUAUUUUGAAACAUGUAAAACCUCUUUUUUGAAAUGUGUUAUUCUAUCUCUAAUCUUGAAACUGUGAGGUUUUGUGAUAUACAGUAUAACCUCUAUAAAUUAAUACUAUAUAAAUUAAUAAUUUUUAUAAAUUAAUAAAUUCUUACGGUCCCCAGUUGGGACCAGUGUAAAAAAUGACAUAAAUCGAUAAAUUAAUAAGAUAAUAUUUUUUUUGAAAGUCCUAUGUAAAUCUAUGGUCCCAUCAAUAUCAUAAAUUAAUAAUUAUAUAAAUAUAUCAACUAUAUAUAUAUAUAUAUUAUAUGUAAAAAAAAAAUUAUAAUAUAUUUAUAAUAUUUUUUUGCUUAAAUUCAUAUUUAUUCUUUGUUUGACUAUAGUUUUCAUAUUUUACUGUAUCAAAACUUUUGGUGUUGUUAUCUAAACAAUAUUAUUAUGUUUUACUUUAACUGGUUCUAGAAAGAUAUUUUCUAUAAUGAAAGAAAUCUUAUAGAAAUUUUUAAAAAGUUACCAAUUUAGAAAAAUCUCUCUAGAAAUUGAUAAAUAUUAAUUUAUCGAUAAAUUAAUACCUCUCUAAAUUAAUAAAAUUUUGUAGUCCCAACAUUAUUAAUUUAUAGAGGUUUUACUGUAGCUUGAAUUUUAACUUUCUAAUUUAUUUAUAGAAAUUCAUGAAAGUUCAUUUUUUUGAUAUAGCUUUUAAUAACACCAAAAUUUAAUGAAAUAUUUUCAAAUUUUAUAAUAAUGUAUAACUUAAAGUCAUCUAUGUAUUUCUAUGAACAAAAAAUGUAAAACAGAAAGCAAAGAAAUACCAAGUAGUACAAUAUACCACCAUAAUAACAUCUAAAGUAAAUAUGUUUGUACACAAAAAUUUGAUACCAAAAGUAAGAGAGAUCAAAUGAAGAGUAUCCUCCAUGGCGCUAAAGAGACACAUAAUGUUAUCCACCACAACGAUGAUCCUCUUAGAUUUAAUCCUGCUCAAUUUAAGACAAAACUCAAAAUCUUCAAUAAGUAAUAUCUUUAUUAAAGAGAAACUAUCUUGUUUUAACGAGUCAAACCUUGAUUCUUGCUGCUAUCAGGCAGAGCAGGUGGAGAAGACGAUGAUGAGUUUGACAAAGGAAUCCCAAGAUUCAAACAGUCCAUUCCAAGUGCACCUAUCAAACACAAACAAUCUCAAUUUUUGAGUCUUGGUUUUUCUUCAAUUGACAAUACAUAAAAAAUGUUCUGCUUACAUUGCUUCAAGCAAGGAAAUGUGGUUAUGUUCAUGAGAUUGCUGUAACCUUCACGGCAAUUGCAGCUGUAUUGAAACGGCAUUGAACUGUUGCAAAGCCCUCCUCCACAGUCCAUCCAUUGACAAGCUAUAGUAAAAAACACACACAAGGAGGAAGCAAAUGAGAUUAGAGGCCCAACGUUUGUAGCUCUACAAGUUUACUAGGAGACCUUGUAAAGGAAAUGUGUCUCAAGGUCUCAAGUUCUAGUCUCAUCCUGGGGAAGAGGCUAAUAUUAACAUGCUCUGAUCUUCGACCCACGGGGACUAUAUGCCUAGGGCCGGAAAAGCAUAAAAAGAAUGAGAUUAGAGAUUUACGGUCGAAAAAUGAAGUAAUGUUGUCUUUGGGAGGCGGUUUGGGUUGUGCUGGAGAAGCUGCUUCACCACAUGUUAGAUCAAAGGUACCUAAUAAGAUGCAGUGAAUACUUUGUUAUGUUCUCUAUAAUGAUCAAACCAAUCUAACCAGUGAUCAAGGGAGAGAUAUUACAGUUGGGGGUGAUGCAAGGGAGAAACUUGAGGUGUUGAUCAAACUGCUUCCAACCGUCUUCACACUCACAUUCAUACAUAAAAGUUGUGUUUGAAGGUGCUUUGCAUUUCCCUUUCCCACAUUCCACUUCCUUGCAUAUAUUAUCUGUGUUUUUUUUCCCCACAAUAAUUGUAUCAACCAACUUUAAAUCAUUAACAAAAAAAUACUUGAUGAGUCACAAUCUACUAAAUUGGAAAUUUGAGAAGGACCCUUCAAAGAAGAUCACUUUUUACUCAAAAACCAACUCAUAAAGAUACUUUAAUUCUGUCACGAAAAAAAAGUAUGUCCUCUUAUUACAUCUCUAGUUCAAAUUUCGGCGGGAGUUUAACCCUAAUCUUGACAUAAUCAAGUUACAUGUCUAUUCUUGGACACAUAAUCAAGUUUUGUUCUUCCUAAAUAAAGUUUAGUAUUUAAACAGAUUAUCCUUGUUUAUUUUUGCUAAUGAGAUAAUCAUUGUUUCAAAGAAGUUAAAUACAUCAAUGAAAAACUAGAGGAACUUAACUUCAAUUAACAAUAAAUCAAGAUUUGGAUUAAACGAUCCCACCAAUAUCAAAUAUGAGAAAAACAAUUCAGGAAAAAGUGAGGAAGAGGAAGGGACAUACCAUACACAGGAGCGAAAAGAGGAGAAAGGAAAUCGGAAGUAGCUGUCUUCUGGUUGAUCAGAAGUAAAGCAGCAACAAGACAGAGUGUGUUCCUAAGACGAGCCAUGAUUCUGUCUUCUUCUCCCUUAAUUUGAAGUACACAGAAAACAAUUAAUUUGAAAUAACAAAAUAAGAAGACGAAAGAUUCUUGGACUUUUGUUAUAUAAAUUAGUUGAGGAUUUGGUAAGUGUGUAAGGUGGAUACGGAUGUCAAUAGUGAUGUGGACUGACCGACUUGGCUACAGAUUUUCUUGAGUUAGUUAUUAGUUGAUUGCUGAGAUCCAAUUAAUGCGUUUAAUUUUCAUUUCUUUGUUUUUUUUAUAUAUUUAGGGUCAACAUAUUCAAUAAAUUAGUCUUGAAAAUAAUCAUAUCAUAUUGGAGCAAAUAAAAAAGAGAAGAAUAAUAAUCAUUCAUAUCAUAUUUUUUUGUUGCACUUGCACAAUAUUGACAUUGAUAUUAAGUUCUAUCAUAUAUAAUAUAAUUAUUGUGUUUAUUACGAACAAAACAAGUUUUAUGGAUGAAUCUGACAAAAAAAACGGCAGAAAGCUAAUAAAUUAUGAUCAAUAAAUUAGUGUUGAAAUUAAUAAUUCAAACCUGUUUCUUUUUGUUCUAAAAAUGCCACUGAUAUAAAGUUUUCUCAAAUAAACAGGGUUAUUGAAUUGAAAAUUCAUACUAUGAUUACUAUUAAUCAGAUUCUAAAUAAUUUAUAUGAAACAAUUCUACAUAAGAAAAUAGAGAAAUCCUUUAUACUAGAAUUCUAGGAAUAAAAAAUCUUAAAACUCUAUACUAAAUCAGAUUAAUAGAUUAAUUAGUCAUAGACAUAUAAUUCUAUUUUUAACAUAAUAUGUUUUUACUUCAUUGUAGCCAUGUGAUACUUAAAAAGUAGAAAGUAAUAAGUGUUUAAAAAGUUCUGUUGAAUUCCAUACCUAAAAAAAAUUCUAAGAAGUUGCAUUUAUAGUUUAAAAGUAUUUAUGUCAAACAUGCUCAUCUAGUUUAUAGGACACGGUAUGCCUUCUAUUUUAUCCGAUAGAAUGGCAAAAAGUCAAGUCACCGGCCCAUCGAACACGCUUAUGUAAUAAAGAUCACGACUUCAGAACUCUCACGUUGAGCAGUCGCCAUUCUAAAGCAAAACAGUGUUUCUAUUUUAUUUUUUAUUUUUUAUUAAAGAGAAACAAAUACAAGGUCAAGCAAACUGAAAGAGGCACAUAUACCCCAAAAAAACGCAUAUGCCAAACAACAACAAAAAAAAAAAACCAAAACUAUAAAAAAAUCUUAAACGCUCAAGAAGUCCGGACACAAAAGGAGAAGAGACCCCUUAAUCUAAGAAAAUUAACCAAGCGGAGAGUAGAGAAAACCAUGGAGGAGCGAUACGUUGCUUUUUAGCAAGAUGAUCAAGACGCGCCCACAUUAACGACUUGAUGUCUUUGAUGAUUGACGUGGGGUCUUGAAAUUCGUAGUGCAGAUACGAGAGUUACAUUUCUUCCAAAGGAGAUAGACCGCUGCCUGAAACACAAUUAUUAUGAUCAAAUCAAGAUUUGGAUCCCUAGUAGCCGAGUAGACCCAGUGAAAACAAGCCAUAAAAUGGUUUGGGGGUAACCAAGUGUCGUUAGCUCAAUUGGUAAAGAUCCUAGACAAAGUUUAGAGAUUGCUGGUUCGAGUGACGCUUAGGACGAAACUAAUAUUACUGGCUGUAGUUUCGGGUCUGGGAGAUUAUGAGUUUCGGUCCAGAACUUCCUGUUAUUCAAAAAAAAAAAAGUUCAAACAACAUAACAGGUAAUAAAAAACAAGUACUCUCUUAACUCAUUAGAACCGUUGCAACGAACACAAGAGGGAGAGAUAAAAUGUCCCUCGAUCCUAAGUCUAUCACGGUUCACGGGGGAUGAUGGUCCGACUUCCACAAAUAGAUGUCAUCAUCCAAAGGAUUCAACUCCCAUAAAUUCCUAUUCCCAUUGUUUCUGUUACCAGUGUUUCUAUUUUAUAAAAGAGGAUUAAAAUCACGGCACAAAUUCAACCUUAAGCAUUAAAAUUGAAGUACAAACUCAAAAGACUUCCCCUAAGCUUUCCAAUUAAAACCCGAAAACGCAAUAAGAACACCAAUAUGAUUGGAGAUCCCCAAAUGAAAUAUGUCGUAAUAGCUUGAUGGUAUUGAGUAGCAAAGAGAAGUAUUUAUAUACAAUGAGUUUCCUAUAUUACGACAAGACUGUAUCUAAGUAAAUCUAGUUAAAUAAAAGAUUGACAUAUACAUAUCUAGUUUAAUAUCUAAAAGGGACAAAAACAAAACUCAAACGACCUUGCUAUAUUUCCGCAUACAAUCAAUUAUUUGUGUCGUCUACCCAUUCAUCGCAUAUAAAAUCCAAACAUUGGGCAUAUACAUAUCAAUUUCAGUGGUUUCUAACCAAACAAAUAUAUUCUCGAUUUCAUUUUGUAGUUCGUGUUCAGUCCUACUCAUACAUCACAGAUUGGUUUUGCUGACUUUGGUAAUGGGCCUUAUAUCUAUUAGGGCAUUGGGCUUCAUUCCUUAACGCUUACUUCGCAAUUAAUAAACUAAUAUACACUACUUAUAACACUGAUCACGUCCAGUUAUUUUAGCCGCCAGAACUCAGAAGACAUGCAAAAGAUCUAAAUGCAGCAGAAAUAAAAGAUUCGAAAAUAGUGUCUACGUCAGUCAAUCAAAUAAUGUUGAAACAUUGAGACAAAUUUCAAUAUUGGAUUGGCAAAAAGAACCAGAAAUAGAAGUAGAAGAAGCUAAAUUUUGUAAGCAGAAAGUGGCGACAUGAUCCGAGAACCGAGAGUUUCGUGUUUCGAUAUGUUAACAGAUUUCAUUUAUAAACCAUGGUAACUCUAUAAUUUUGACAGCUCAUCCACUUUAGUAAACAUUUAAUACGUAGGAAUUAAGUGGUUAUGUGGUCCAUGCAUAUGUCUCGAUACUAACACGUAAAUGGAAAUAUGGUUUCAUUCGUACCUAUGUUUCUGUAUCCACAUACGAGUAUAUUUACUUAUGUUUUUUUUUAGUUUUAAAAUUAUUAAUGGAGUAUAUGUCUAAUAUAUCUGACCGAAACUAAUGUCAACUUGUUUAACUAAAAACCCUUACAUUUUUCUUCUAUUUCUUCUUCUUUUUUGUACUACGAUAAAAAAAAAUCAUAAAAUAUGUAAUUAUAGCUUUAUAACUUUACUCAGUUGCAAAAUAGAUAAGAGUUAAAUUGAAGUAAGAAAAAAAAGUCAUGACCAAUAAUGCACUAAUUACUAAAGCACAAGAAGAAGAAAAAUCAUCAAAAUCAUCUUUUAUAGAAAAACAAAGAACUUUUAUUGUUUUCGACCAAUUAAACGGUGCGAGUGAAAUAUCAUUAUUUGAUUAGUCCAUUGUCGUAUUCUCUAGCAACUCCACCUCUAGUUUACUUCCUCAAGAAAGAGUCAUAUCAUACGUUAAGUCUAUAUCGGCAAAUCUUGACCAAAAGAAUAUAUCAAAUAGAAUAAAAUAUAUUGAGAUCGAAAGGAAUAGACUCUUAUUCCAAAGAUUAGAAAUCAGAAUGAAAAUGGAUCGGCAAACGGCGCCGUAUUUGUUGCCGGCCGCCGGGAAUAAACAAGAAAAGUAAUGGCAACAAACAUCAAAGUAAUGGUUUGGAUAGAUCGAUGAAACCAUAAUUGAGGACGCUAGUCAACGUAUUGUAGUAACAUGCCAUGUGAUUGCCAGCUUCAUGCACAGACACCGACAUGUAUUAUCAUGCUACUAUUCAUAUAUUAAUAUCAAUAUAUUAGUCUUAUGUAGGAAUUUUUUAGUUAACUAUUAAUGCACGAUAAUUAAGGAGUGAUGAUGACAAAUCCUCAUGCAUAUAUAGUUGGAACAAAGUUCCAAUUCAUGCACUAACCACUAGUUAAUCGUCAAUGACAGAGCGAGAGGCAGCAAUAAUCUUCUCUGAUGAUUGGCUUCCAGAUUCAACAACUUAAUUAUAUCAAUGUUUUUUUUGGGUGCAAUUUGAUUUAUAUAUAUACUAGUUAUUUAGCAUCUCAAGACAUUCUUAUCAUAUUUAAGUUGAUAACUUGAUAUUGUAAUCAGAAUCAUCAAAUAUUGACAUUGUACGAUGCAUGCAUUUCAUUAGAUCCACACUGUCUGAUCCGCUUCUUCCAUUUGGAGUUUUUGUAUACUAAUCCCUGAUACUAAUAUAACUAUUUAAUUCAUUUUUUGUUUGUUUAAGAUAUCAUUUUUUACGAGAUUUGAGUGAGACAUUGCAUUGGUUGAACUAAUUCACCACAAAAACCUAAUUCAUUACAUACGGACCAUUUCUGAUUGUUUUAAACUUAAUUUCAACUAACUCUUAUUUAUUGUGGUACCUAAAUUUCCUAUAUAAUAAUAAGCACAUUUAAGAAAAUUUGUCGAUCUCAAGUUUCAACAACUGUCUAUUAAACCCAAAUUGUCUAGAAGCAGCAUCCAUCUUCUCAAGCUAAACAAUUGAAUUUAGACCUAUCAUAUAUGCAUCAUAUCUAAUUAUCAUUUAUGGAUCUAUGGGAAACAAAUAAGCAAGAAAUAUUGUGGUAUAGGGUCUAAUUACUAUCAAAACGUGUCCUACAUUUUGAGGGGGUCCUCCGACCAAGAAAAUAAAUACUUUGGAAUUAAUCUUUAAUGCUGUGAAGACAUAAAAGAUAAGUAUACCAAUUUUAUUAGCAAGCGUCACUUACUGAAAAACAAUCCCUAUAAGAUUUCUAUUUCUGCACAAAAGAAGAAAAAACAUGAAAGGUUAUAUAGUACUUAUAUAUCCAUCGAAUUUAUACGCCCACAAAUGACUAAUGCCUGAUUCACAUGCAGGCAAUUCAAAACUAGCUCAAUUUUCUUCUGUUAACCAGCUCUGAUUACUCAUUUUAUCUAAUAGUGUUGGAUUAUAUAUAGGGAUAAAAUGUGAUGUAUAGAUAUCUCUUGAAUAGUCUCAUUCGACUGACCACAAACUAAACUACUAACAUCAUUUUCUCAUACAUUUCAGCGUGGGCCAAUAAAGCCAACGUGUUUUUAUUAUUCCAAAUGUUGACAUAAGAUAUAAUCUAUUAUAUGGUAAUGGUAAUAUGUGUCUCAUUCUCAUGCUAAAAUCCAUGAACGCAGAACGUCUCUCAUCAUAAAAUACUAGAAGUUAAUGAUAAAUUAUGUCACACGGAUUCUGCAUGUUCUUAUACCCUUUUUUCACAUGGCUCACCCAUCACAAAUCUCACUAUCUAAUGACUUAUUCACCCCUUUCUAAGUCCAUGUCCAAGUCCAAAACUCUAGGUGUCUAUUUCUUUUGGAUGAGCAGUGAUGUAUCAAUAUCUCAUUAUGUUACGUAGCUAUCUUAGCUAGGUUCAUCACAUACGCCGUCCUACAUAUAUUAAGUGUUGAAUAGAAAGUUAAUUCCAUCUAUCUCAAUUAUCAACCAACGUAACUAUCGUAUUUAGAUAUCAAUCACACACACACACACACACACACAAAAGUUUAUGUGAUUAAUUAGGAGUAGGAUUCGGAGCUACAUUUAAAUGCAAGUUCAAACUCUACAAUAUCGAUAACAAUAUUAACUCAAUUGUUUAAUUAGUCUACUUAUCUUUUAUUGAGUAAACUCGAAGGAUAUGUAUGAGUUGCAUAAGAGGGUAUUCUAGUACUUUGUGAUAUCCAACGAAUAAGGCAAGGAAUCUAAUCUGAGCUAAUCAUAAUUAUUGAGAUUGUGUGUAGUUGGCCUUCGAGUGGAUAAAUCGUGGCUAUGGAGCUUCCGUUCUGCUUCUUCUUCUCCCAAAUUAUUAAGUCAUCCUCCAAAUCAUAUUUCACUAAACUUGCAAAAAAUAUAAAAAAGUAUAUAUCUUCAUAAUUAAUGAAUGGUAAUUAACCUACUAAAUUUUCAUUGAUUUAUGUAUAAUGGUUAUGUGUUUUUAUAUUACAUAUAUAGUUUACUAGAGUUUAAACAUUCCAACAUAAUUCCACUAAAACUCAACCAAAAAGGGGGUACAAAAAAAGAGAAAAAAAAAAUUAAAUGUUAUUGAGUGAUGGGUAGUUAAAGAACUUAUGGUGUUAGGCUGUCCAAAAAGAGAAGCAGUUAAAGAGUUUGGAGUACAAUGUCUUAAACAAGAAAAUGUCUGUCCCAUUAUAACAUCUCGAAACCAAACACACACACACACACAUAUAACAAUCUCUUCUUCUCUGACAUUACACAAUGGUGGUUUGAGUUUACAGAAGAUAAUAAUGGGGAAAACUAGCAAAUGGUUUCGAAGUCUCUUAACCGGAAAGAAAGAGAGAACAAAGGAACAUAUCAUUCAAAGCGAGUGUGUAUUCACUUCUUCCAUUCCAGGCACUCCUAAGGAGAAACGUCGAUGGAGUUUUCGACGUUCUUCAGCAACUGGACCACCGCCACCAGCUUGUGCUAUUACACUGAAAGAUUCACCACCACCGCCGCCACCACCACCUCCACCUCCACCGCUACAACAACCAUUUGUGGUCGAAAUCGUGGACAAUGAAGAUGAACAAAUCAAGAACGUUUCAGCUGAAGAGAUUGAAGAAUUUGCAGCAAUAAAGAUUCAAGCGUGCUAUCGUUCUCAUUUGGUAAAUGUUUACAAAAAUUCCAAGUAACGAAUCCAUUUUUUUUCUAUUUUUUCUAUUUUUUUGCUUCAAUUAGUCUAACAAAAGAAAUCAAAAUUUUAUAAAUUUUGUGGUAGGCGAGGAAAGCAUUAAGAGCAUUAAAAGGGUUAGUGAAAUUACAAGCACUAGUGAGAGGUCAUUUAGUAAGGAAACAAGCAACAGCUACACUUAGAUGUAUGCAAGCAUUAAUAACACUUCAAGCCAAAGCUCGAGAACAGAGGAUUCGUAUGAUCGGAGGAGAUUCAACAAAUCCAAGAACAUCGAUUCACAAAACCAGGAUCAAUAACUUUUACCACGUAAUGGAUCUACAAAACCCAUAUCUCAAAAUCCAAACUUGACAAUGACUCCUCAAUUUGACCUAACUUUUAAAAUCCUCUGUUUUUUGGCAGGAGAAUGAAGAAAACAUCAAGAUUGUGGAAAUGGACAUUCAAUCGAAAAUGUACUCUCCGGCUCCUUCGGCUUUAACCGAGAUGAGUCCUCGCGCGUAUAGUAGCCAUUUCGAGGAUUGUAACUCAUUCAACACAGCUCAAAGUAGUCCACAAUGUUUCAGCAGAUUCAAAGAGUAUUACAAUGGAGAUACUUUGUCUUCUUAUGAUUACCCUCUCUUCCCUAAUUACAUGGCUAAUACUCAGUCUUCUAAAGCCAAGGCUCGGUCUCAAAGUGCGCCGAAGCAGAGACCUCCUGAGAUCUAUGAGAAGCAGAUGAGUGGGAGGAGAAGAUCUUCGAUGGAAGCACCGAGGAAUAACGGUGUCCCGAGAGCUGUAAGGAUGCAGAGAUCUUCAUCUCAACUAGGGUCAAACACAGCCAAGGAAAGUCAACAACAUCAUCAUCAUCAGUACUAUCCGUGGAUGGCGAUAAAGCUCGAUAGAUCUAAUAUUUCGCUUAUGGAGAGCGAAUGCGGAUCUACAAGUACCGUUAUGACUAAUACCAACUACGGUAGACAUGUUGAUGUGAGUCCGGAAAGAUUACUUGUUUCACAAGAAAAUAUGAAUUUUGAGAUUAGCACUUAUAUUUCUUGACUUUGUAUUAUUGCAGGUUCAGGGAAACAACAACAUGUACUGAACACUGUGCUUUAGAAUUUGAGAGAUUGCUGGAAAAAUAGGCAAGCCUAAAAAACGAAGAGGACAGGUUUAUAGGAGUUUUUUUUAUGAUGAUGGAGAUUUAACAAUCUCUAUAUGUAAAGCAAAAAAUGUAGUAGACUGUAGAAGUGACUCAUCUCGUCUUAAAUUUUGAUUUUUCCUUUUUAAUUAUCAUUCGAAUUAACGUUAACAGUAUUUGUCAAAUUCAUGGAUGUUACUAUGUUCAAAAUCCAUAAUUUGUAUAUUGAUUCGAUUACAUUAGUCAUCAGCAAACUGAAUUACAAUCAAACAGGACAGGAAAAAAAAUUGAAAUUUACUUGGCGAUUAUAUUACAAAAUAAACUAGUUAUCAAAGUACCUUGGAAUGACUCUAAUCAAAUUUUAAUUUGGUUUUGAAGACAAAAAUUCGGUACAGCUCUGGUUUGGUAUGGUCAGACCGAAACGAACACUCAUUAAUGAAGUUAAAGUUGGACAGUUCCAGUGGGUAUAGCCCAAUAAGCGUGAUAGGCCCAUAAACUGUUCAUAUCAUAAAGCCCACGUAAUUCUUUUUUUAUUUUUUUUAAGUUACGGUAUGAAAAGUUUCUUCAGCUCAAUAAUAUAACUUCUCCCCUGCUUCUUGUUUUCUUUUCUUUUUCUUGUAUCCAUACAAACGCAGAAGAGUGACAUUCGCGUUGCGUAUAUGAAACACACGUUUGUUAUUGGGGACUCUACUCGCCUUAAUUUUUGGAUUAGAAGUAAUUGAAUGAUAUCUUACACCAUUGGUAAGCAUCACCUUCGUAAAUAAUGUAACCAUAUUUCAUACCGAAAAGUUAAUAAUGCAACCAUAUCGAUUUAUUUCACCUAAUGCUAUGAUACACAUUGUUUUAAACAUGGAUUGAUUAUACCAUCCUCACAAUUGUACAUUUUUGUCAAAUUAUAGUUCAGUGUUGUUAUAAUAUUCACCGGGAUGAGAAGGACACAAUAAUGCCACCCUUAUAACAACGACAUUUCUCCAUACCUAACAUUGACAAUUCACUUACUAUAUGGCAAAAUGAAUAUGAUAUGAAGACCCUACACUUUAUCUUACAUAUACGUCCAAAUUGGCUACAUUUGUCCAUGAAUAUAAUAAAAUACACAAACACAAAUCUUCUGAGAAACAUGUAUUGCUUGGUAAUUACCAUUAUAUUAUCACACGAUGGAAUCAAAUUUUACAAAGAAAAAAAAUCUUUUAUCAUUUUUGGCUUUUGAUGAGGACUUUACAGAUUAAUUGAGUUUCUAUUGUUAGCUUCAUUAGUGACCAAAACAAGACAGGUUAUAAACUUGUUCUCACAUAUAACUCUUUUUGUGACAUCCCACCUUUUUUUAUGUCUCUUCUACUCACAUUUUUUUCUGUGGAGAUCUUGAUGACCCCUCUUCUUGAUCAUUAUCCAUUUUUUAGAUCUUGAACGUACACUUAUUGAUGUUUGUUGGUGGAAAUGUGGCUUGCGUGCAAAACAAAAAGAAAAAUAUUUGAACAUCUUGCGGUUUUUGAGACUCUAAGAUUGUAAUUUGACAAGCACUUUAUCCUCACUAAUACAUGUAAUCAAAUGAUAUAACAAUUUGAAUUAUAACUUUUUAUACAUUUAACUGUGUUUGUAGGCAUUUGUUUUAGUUUAAAUAUCUUUUUAAACUAUCUAUUUUCAAUAUUGAUAUUUCAAUUUUGACGAUUUUUGUAAUUAAAAAAAAAUUGUUAUUUAAAUAGGCGACUUUACAUUGGAGGCAAUAUCUCUUACUAAAUUUUGUGAUUAAAAUUUGUUUUUUUUUUUUAAAAUGCAGUCAUCUUCCGGAAAAGAUCAAUCGUCCUCUUGAAACCCCUAAUUUUCUAUUGCUGAAAUCUUUAAUAAUUUCACUAAACAUCAUUAAUAUCGAUGAUCACAUCUUAUCCAGGGCCAAAACAAUAUCUAUCUCACCGAUCCUCCCGUUAAUAGUUCAUUUGUCAACGGCUAUAAUCGUUCAGACAUAGUAUUGAAUAUCAGUGAGAUCUUUCACUUUGCAACAAUUUUUUUUAUUAGUUAAGAAGAGACAUUAAACAAUAUUUGCUUACUCCUUUGUUAAUACAUAUGAUUAAUUAAGAACACAAAAAGCUAAUAUGCAUGAUUACACGGGCAAUAAUGUUGUUCAACAUGUCCCUUUUUAUAAAGUGAGAAGUGUAAAUAUUUAUUUUCUUGAAAAAGUAGUUACAGGUGAUAAGUUUGUAUAUAGAACAACAAUUGAAUACAUGCAUGCCUAACAUUUCUUAAAACAUAACAUGCCCAACUUAUUGCUAACUUCAGACUAAUAAAUGAGAUGGUGUGAUACACACACUAUAUAUAAUAUAUGAGAGAAGCUUAAACUACUAAAUACAUGUAAAAUGCUAAAAUAAUGUUUUCUUUAUACAGUUGAUCAUUUUAGACUAAAAAAUCAGAUUACAUAAUCUAAAAUAAAUCAUUGUCGAAAUUAAAUUAAACAAAGAUAUCUAAGACAUUAUUCAUUAUUGAAAUUACUGUAUUUAAUGUGGACACAUUUGUCGUAUGUUGAAAUUUUUGAUAUGUCACAUUUGUGCCUCUCUGCAUAUCAAAGUCUUUCAUAUUUAAAUCCUAUCAUAUUGCCGACACUUAAAAUCCUUUUUUUUUUCUUUCACUAAACCAUAUUCCUAUAAAGAUACAAAAAUUUCCUUAAAUUUCGUUAAACAGGUAAUUUUUCUACUAUUUAAUUACAAAAUGACACCAAGAUAAAAAAGAGUCCAAAAGAUAUAGACAAAAAAAAGGUAAGAAAAUUUAUUUUUACAAAAAAAAGGUAAGAAAAAUUAUUAAAAAUCGAAUAUUUACUAUAUGCGCCAAUCAUACUAAUUAUUCUCUUGUCACGCAGUGUAGACGAAGGAGAGAGAGAAGAGAAUGUUGUGUGUCUCUGUGGUUCUCCUCCAUUGAUGUCUGAAACUGAAGAGUCAAGUGAUUGAAUUUGUGUUCUUGUUUUUUACCCUUUGUAUAUAUUUCUUUUUGGGUAAGUAAGUGCUUUUGAUCCUUUAGAAAUUCUCUGAGAUAAAUCGUUUUCGCUUGAUGUUUCAGUUUUCAAUCGAAAGUUGUCAUCUUUGUGUCGCUGUUGCUUGCAUUCAUCACAAGUUUUUCUCCUGAAUUUCGAUAAAGUUACUUCCUUUGGCAAUUUUGUUGCUACCCAUUUUCAUAUUUCUGGUUAAUUUCAUCUACAAGUAAGAUUUGUUUAGCUUUGUUUGUGUAUAUAAGUUUGAUUAGUUUUGUUCCCAAAGUUUGACGAAGAAUUGUUAUUUGCUGUCUCUAUUAUUGGUGGUUGAUGAAGUGUCUGUCUCUCUAUGAUACAUUUUCCUGAAGUCUGCAGUUUUCAGUUUGUACCAACUCAAUUCUUAUGAAACAUAAAGACUAGCUUUUCCCUUUUCUCCCUCUUCUUGAUUGUGUUUUGUUAUACAUUAAAAAGCUUACUCAUGUUUGUAUCUUUGUCUAUGCCUUGUUUGAAGAUAGUUUUGUGUGUUAUCUCUCUGAAGAUUGCUGUUUUUUUUUUCUUGUUCAGGACGAUCCAGUGUUUAUCAUUCUUAAGGACACCAAAUUGAUAUUUAGCAUUAAGUACAAAUCCACAGUGCAAAGGUUUGUUUGCAUUGGGAAAGCAAUUUAAAUCUAAUGUAACUUCCUUCGUUGUUUAGCUUGAUUAUAAGGUCAUUUUGUUUCAGUUUUGUAGAAUUCUUAGUUUCUAGCAUACUAGUAGAGGAUCAAAGGAAUCAAGUAGUUUACUUUGGCGUAGAACCCGUUCGUUGAGCUUCUUGCAGCAGCUGUUAUGGCCAGUCUGUCGCAGUCAGAAUCUGGGAGGUUGUACUCGUGGUGGUGGGAUAGUCACAUUCCUAAAAACUCAAAAUGGAUUCAGGAUAACCUUGCAGGUAUUCUAUAAUCUUUCUUGACUUCUCCUUGGUGUUUUUUAUGAGUCUUGAAAAUUGUGGCAUUAUAAUGCUUUUGAUUUGUAUGUUUAAAGAUAUUUUGUUUCUUUUGGAAGUCAAUUUAAAGGAAAUAUUUGUUUGUGUUGAAACAGACAUGGAUUCCAAAGUCAAGACAAUGAUAAAGCUCAUCGAAGCUGAUGCAGAUUCGUUUGCAAGAAGGGCAGACAUGUACUUCAAGAAACGUCCAGAGCUAAUGAAACUGGUGGAAGAGCUAUACAGAGCUUAUCGUGCUUUAGCUGAGAGGUAUGAUCAUACAACUGUGGAGCUUCGGCGUGCGCAUAAAGUCAUGGUUGAGGCGUUUCCUAACCAGAUGUCUUUUGACAUGAUUGAGGAUUCUGCAUCAUCUUCUUCUGAGCCUCGUACAGAAGCAGAUACAGAAGCUCUACAAAAGGAUGGUACUAAAAGUAAAAGGAGUUUUAGUCAGAUGAAUAAAUUAGAUGGAACUUCUGAUUCUCACGAAGCAGAUUCUGAAGUUGAAACCUUAAAGAGAACAUUGCUUGAGCUUCAGACUGAAAAGGAAGCUUUGAAUCUCCAAUAUCAGUUAAUCUUGAGCAAAGUAUCCAGAUUUGAAAAGGAACUCAACGAUGCUCAAAAGGAUGUUAAAGGAUUUGAUGAACGUGCUUGCAAAGCUGACAUUGAGAUUAAAAUACUCAAGGAAUCUCUUGCAAAGCUAGAGGUGGAGAGGGAUACUGGGCUUCUUCAGUAUAGUCAAGCCAUUGAGAGAAUAGCGGAUUUGGAAGCAUCGAUUUCUCAUGGGCAAGAAUAUGCGAAGGGGCUCACUAACCGAGUGUCUGAAGCAGAAAGAGAAGCCAUGAGUCUCAAGAAAGAGCUUUCUAGAUUGCAGUCUGAGAAGGAGGCUGGCUUGCUACGAUACAAUAAAAGCCUUGAGUUGAUAUCUUCCUUAGAGAAGACAAUUAGAGAUGCGGAGGAGAGUGUUAGAGUAUUCAGGGACCAAUCGGAACAAGCAGAAACUGAAAUCAAAGCUUUGAAACAAGAACUUCUGAAGUUGAACGAAGUCAAUGAGGACUUGAAUGUUCGAUAUCAGCAGUGUUUGGAGACAAUAUCAAAGUUAGAGAGAGAAGUUUCUCAUGCUCAAGAUAAUGCCAAAAGACUGAGCAGUGAAGUUCUUGCUGGCGCUGCAAAAAUAAAGACUGUGGAGGAACAAUGCGCUCUUUUGGAGAGCUUCAAUCAAACAAUGAAGGUAGAAGCAGAAAAUCUAGCGCACAAAAUGUCAGCUAAGGAUCAAGAACUUUCCCAGAAGCAAAACGAGAUUGAAAAGCUUCAAGCUGUAAUGCAAGAAGAACAAUUGCGGUUUUCAGAACUUGGAGCUAGCCUUCGAAAUUUGGAGAGUUUGCAUUCUCAAUCCCAAGAGGAGCAGAAGGUUCUCACCUCAGAACUUCAUAGCCGGAUUCAAAUGUUGAGAGAACUGGAGAUGCGAAAUAGUAAGUUGGAAGGUGACAUCAGCUCUAAAGAAGAAAACCGAAACUUAAGCGAAAUAAAUGACACUUCUAUCUCCUUGGAGAUUCAGAAAAAUGAGAUCUCUUGCUUGAAGAAAAUGAAAGAAAAGCUCGAGGAAGAAGUUGCGAAACAGAUGAACCAGAGCAGUGCCCUUCAAGUAGAGAUCCACUGUGUGAAGGGUAAUAUUGACAGCAUGAAUAGGAGAUACCAAAAACUAAUUGACCAAGUAAGCCUCACAGGUUUCGAUCCCGAAUCUCUUUCCUACUCCGUGAAGAAACUACAAGACGAGAACUCGAAGCUAGUCGAGUUAUGCACCAAUCAGAGAGACGAAAAUAAUGCUGUUACAGGGAAGCUAUGUGAAAUGGACAGCAUUCUAAAGAGGAAUGCUGAUUUGGAGAAAUUGCUUCUGGAAUCAAACACCAAACUAGACGGUUCCAGGGAGAAAGCGAAGGAUCUGAUAGAAAGAUGUGAGUCUUUACGAGGAGAGAAAUCUGAGCUUGCUGCCGAGAGAGCUAACUUGGUUUCCCAGUUGCAAAUCAUGACUGCGAAUAUGCAGACACUCUUGGAAAAGAACUCUGUAUUAGAGAAAUCCCUGUCUUGUGCAAACAUUGAGCUUGAAAGUUUGAGGGAUAAGUCAAAGUGCUUUGAUGAUUUCUUCCAGUUUCUCAAAAAUGAUAAGUCUGAGCUUAUGAAGGAAAGAGAAUCUCUUGUCUCUCAGUUGUGUAAGGUUGAGGAGAAGCUAGGAGUCUUGGAGAAGAAGUAUACAGAACUGGAAGUAAGGUAUACUGAUUUACAGAGAGAUAAUAAGCUCAAAAGCCAUCAAGUAGAAGAGUUACAGGUCUCACUUGCCGCUGAGAAGCAGGAGAGUGCUAAUUACAAACGAUCUACUGAAAGCAGAUUAGCAGAUCUUCAGAAGAAUGUGAGCUUUCUUCGAGAAGAGUGUCGUUCCAGGAAAAGAGAGUACGAGGAUGAGCUUGACAGAGUUGUAAACAAACAAGUCGAGAUCUUCAUCUUGCAAAAGCUUAUAGAAGAUCUAGAGCAGAAGAAUUUUUCUCUCCUGAUUGAGUGUCAGAAGCAUGUUGAAGCAUCAGAAUUUUCCGAGAAACUCAUUGCUGAGCUGGAAAGUGAGAAUCUCGAGCAGCAGAUGGAAGCAGAAAUAUUUUUGGAUGAGAUUGAUAGCUUGAGAGGUGCAAUCUAUCAGGUGAUAAAGGCACUUCAAGUUGAAGCAGAUUGCAAGACUGAACAGAAGAUUACAAAAGACCAAAUUUCAGUUUCACGUGCUUUGGGAGAGAUUGAUAGCCUAAAAGGUUCACUCUCCAGUGCUGAAUAUGAGAUGCAUCGACUUGUAGUUGAGAACUCGGUGCUUUUAUCUCUACUUGGACAAUUCCAGUCAGAUGGUUUGGUGCUCGAAUCGGAGAAGAACAUACUCGAAAAAGAUCUAAAGACUAAAAUACAUCAGUGUGGAAUGCUUGAAAAGGACAAGCAAGAUCUACAGGAAGCGAACCGGUUGUUGAAAUCAAAACUGAUCAAAAGAGAGCAACAAGAGCAAAAGCUGAGAGCUGAACUGAAAUUUGAGAAUUUGAAGUUUGAGAGUUUGCAUGACUCAUACAUGGUUUUGCAACAAGAUUAUUCCUAUACACUCAAUGAUAACAAAACUUUGCUUCUGAAAUUUUCAGAAUUUAAAGAUGGAAUGCAUGUAGUUGAGGAAGAAAAUGAUGCAAUUCUUCAGGAGGCUGUUGCUUUGAGUAACACGUGUGUUGUUUACAGGUCCUUUGGGUCUGAAAUGGCUGAGGAGGUCGAAGAUUUUGUUGAAACUGUAAGCAGUUUACGAGAAAUUAGUACGGGACUGAAGCGCAAGGUUGAGACACUGGAGAAGAAGUUAGAAGGUAAAGAGAAAGAAAGUCAAGGUCUUAACAAGAUGCUGGAAAAUUUACAGGAAGGCCUUGAAGAAGACAACUUCUUAACUGGACUCUUGGAACAUCAGGUUUCUAAUGUAGACGAAAUCUUGGAACAUAGGGAAAUGGAGAUCCUAGAAGCAGAGCAUAUGCUCAAGGCCACAAACAAUGAAAACGAAGAGCUGCACAAAGAAGUUGAGGAGCUGAGGAAAGACUAUGAAGACUCAAGACGGAUGAGGGCAAAUUUAGAGUGGCAGAUUUCUGAACUGUCAGAUGUUGCUGGAAGACAGGAGGAAGAGAUUAGAAAACUUAACGCUUUGAAUGAGAAUUUGGAGUCAGAGGUACAGUUUUUAAACAAAGAAAUUCAACGACAACAGGUUCGAGAGGAGUACCUGAGUUUGGAGCUGCAAGAGAAAAGCAAUGAGAUUGGACUUUGGGAUUCUGCGGCAACAUCUUUCUACUUUGAUCUUCAGGUCUCAGCUAUCCGUGAACUCAUUCUUGAGAACAAAGUUAACGAACUCUCAGGAGUUUGUGAAAACCUCAAUGAUGAAGUUGUUACGAAAACGACUAAGAUUAAACAGAUGAAAGAAACAGUUGGAUUUUUGGAGUCUCAAGUGACUGAGCUGAAGAGUCAGUUGUCAGCUUAUGAUCCUGUGAUAGCAUCUUUGGCAGGGGAUGUAAAAGCCCUUGAGAAAAGUACACAUGCUUUAACGAAAUUUCCUGCAACAGCCUAUCAACAAAGAGUGGUAAACUUUUGCACUCGUUCUUCUAUUUCAAAUGUCAACUCAUCUUUCUCGCUGUACCGAUCUUAAAUAAUUCUAAACAUUUCCAUUUUUUUCAGGGAAACAAUCUGGAAGAAAGCGGCAGUACCACCAGCCCAUGCAAUGGAAUUGUGAUUCUGAAGGAAAUUAAUCCAAGUAUUAAGACCAUCGAACAAGCAUUUGUUAAAGAAAAAGGCAGGCUAUCAAGGCAAAUAACACGAAGCACCUCCCAAAAACGCAGAGACCGCAGGAAGAUUGAAAAUAUACAACCUGAUGACCAGGUCACUGGUGAAUCUAGACAGCCAAGAUUGAGGCCUGAGAUGACAGAGGUGAAAAAUGAAUUAUUAAUGAAAGACAAUCCUCGUGAUCAAGUCACAGACUCCCUGACCUAUGGCAGAAGCCAGGGAACUAGUCAUGGUUCCAAUGACAUGUUUGAGUUUUGGGAUGAAUCUGCUGAAUCAGAGACCAGUGUAAACUUUCUCAUCAACAGUAACAAACCGCAGAGGUCAUUGAACUCCAAUCUCCGUCAUCAAAGCCGGAAUCCCUCUAUAGAAUCUGAUAAAGCGGUUGGAGUUGUUGACAAACUAGAGUUAUCUAGAAACAUCGAAGACAAGGCAAAGAUUCUGGAGAGACUUUUGUCUGAUUCAAGGAGACUGUCAAGUCUCCGGAUUAGCCUAACAGAUCUGAAAAGAAAGCUGGAGAUGAAUGAGAAACAAAGAAGAUUCAGCAACGCUGAUUUGGUUAUAGUGAAGAGACAGUUGAAAGAAAUGGAAGAAGCUGUCUCGCAGCUGGAAAACACAAACGAGAUUCUUUCAAAGGAAAUUGAAGAGACUGGAGAUGCCAGAGAUAUAUACAGAAAGGUGGUCGUGGAGAAGUCAAGAAGCGGGUCUGAGAAGAUAGAGCAGCUGCAAAACAAAAUGCAGAACAUUGAGCAAACAGUUCUGAAGCUUGAAGAUGGCACCAAAAGCAAAGGAAGGAAAAUGUUUUCAGAGACUAGGACAGUGAUUCUCUUGAGAGACAUUAUUCAUAAGGGCGGAAAAAGAAGUGCGAGAAAGAAGAAAAACCGGUUCUGCGGGUGUAUAAGGUCUUCGACUAAAGAAGAGUAGGGUGGUUCAUAAGGUAAAUUACAUCUAGUCUUUCAUAGAUUAUUGUAAAGAUAUUCAUUGAACUGACUCUAGAAGAGUAUAAUAUGAUAUGAUUUCUGAAAUAUUGUAGCAACUAGCUUAAGAUGUAUUUUAAAAUAAAGCUAGUGCUGGGGUUGAAUGAGAAACGUGGCAGAAACUCGGAUUUUAGAAGCAGACACAGUAUGUUUCGAUAUAGUAGAACUUCAAGAGAAGGAACCUAUAUUACAAGAAAUGUUUGGUUUUGUUGUGAAGAACAUGAUGGAUUGACAUCUUUAUUACACAACGACUAGACUACAGAUUUAAAAGUGUGCUAAGUGCUAACUUACUACCAACUAGAAGUUGACUUAUAUCAUCUUUCACCUUGAAAAAGAUUCAAAGAAUUUCCUUAGCUACACAACACCAAAUGCUUUCAGUGUUGGGGAGUGAGAGAAGGAAACGAUGGAAUCGACUGCAAUAUCAGUUUCCGCCCGCCAUUUCUUCUCCCUAAGAUUGAGCCUGAGCUAGAUGAUUCCAUAUGAGGAGGAGAGACCCUCUUUCCGUUGGGAGAGACACUCUUGAUGUUAGGUAUAGGGGAAUGGAUGAGAAUCUCAGGCAUUUGUUCAGCUCCAUCAACUGCGACUGUCUCGAAUGACUUCUCGAUUCUGGAUUGAGACAAACUAAUGUCUGGUUUUCUUAGAUAUUGACUGUUAAAUAUCCCUGAGGAAGAUCCACCUCCAAGAAGAGACUGUGGAGGAGGCAUCCUGUUCUUAGAUGAUGAGAAAGGUAGUUGAACCAGUUCUGGUCUGAAAAAAAAAACAAAAAACUCAGCUACUCAGGUGAUAUAGACUCACAUAAAAAGUCCUCUAGAAUUUGAUAUUCUACCUGUAAAUCGGCGUUGGUGUCGUAGGUAGAGCAGAACUCAUGUCCUUUCUCAUUAAAACCUCAGUGUUUUGUUGGCUUUUGGCUGUUCUGCUUUUCUCAGAUGUUUCAUUUUCCUCUUCUUGUUCGGCUUCCAUGUCAAUGGAAGACCCUGAGAUAUUCAUUAAGCAGAAUCAGAAUCAGAAAGAGAAUGUGAGGUUAUUAGUAAUGAAAAAUUGAAAACUCAGAAGCAGAGAAGCUAACCAUCUUUCCGGCCGAAUGCGUUCUUACAUCCUUCACAUCUACAGUUUAUGGAACAGCCCACACCACCCUUUAAAGAAACAACAUACCAAAUUACCGGAAUCAGGCCAUAGGAAGUUAAUCACAUGGAACCAUUGAAAGCACAUCGAUGAGGGAAAAUAAAAACCUGAUAGCAUUCACAGUAUUUCUUCAGACAGUUUGAUUUCUUGCAGUUGCAGCCACGUUUAUGGCGCGCAGAAGCUGGAGUUUUGCUUGCAUCAUCCUGUGUGUCAUUACAAUAUUAUUAUAACUUCAAGCAAGAUAGAUGGAUGAUGCAGAGGAAUCAAAGGACGGGGAAAAGAAUCCUACCCCGGUUUCUUGAACUGAGUCAGAGUUCCUAAUGACUUUAGGAGCAAAUGCAAGUGGAUUCCGAGAUUCAAUCUGUUUGCGAGUCGCCAGGACAACGUCUUCAUGGAUAGGUUUAUUGAAGCAGUCUAUACAUGAACAUGGCUCUAUGCAAUAGACUCCAGCAGCAAAGCAUUCACAGUAACUGCACCACACAAACAUCAGAAGACUCAAAACACCAAACUUUUUUGAAGGGCCAAAGAUCAAAAAUGUGGAACUUUGGAGCUUACAGUUUCAAACACUUGGACUUUUUGCAGUUGCAUCGCUUACACGACUCGCCUUCUCCAGAAUCCAACUUAACCCUGUGUGUUUAUCAUGCCAACAGUUAUUAAGACAGAGAUAAAAGGACUCUACACAGAGGAGUUACUCUUAAAGGAAAAAAUCUUACCUCUUCUUCUUAGGGCUGCUCAAAUUUAACUCUUGCAAAGCUGGUUCAACAGGAACAUCUUGAUCUGCAUCUUCCCGGAUUUCAUUUUCUGUUUGGUCCAAAGAAUCUUGCAGUGUAGAGAUGGACCUUUGUAAACCCACUUGUAUAUUCGCAGAACAUGAGUAAUCUUGAGUAACAUUGGUUUUACAGUCCUUUGAAGACAUUAAAAUGGCAUUUAGAUGAAGACCAAUACUCGGUACAACACAUCUCGAAGAGGAUUCACAAGCCGCGGUGUUAUUCUCACUUGAUGUUUGCUUAUUCCCGGGCAUCUCAAAGUCAAGACAACGUCUUCUUAUACCACGGUGCAAGAGUGAAACAGCCUAUCACACAAAACAAAAACCAAGAAGACAACUCUUUUAGAGACAGUAAGUAUUUAUAAAACACUGAAGAUAACUACUUGUGAUAUUACUCCUGAGUUUACCUCAUAAGGAAUCGCAUUCGCGGACUCCGGUUCCUUGUUUGAAUCGUGCUGCAUUGUUUGCUUCUCCACACCAUUUCUAAAACGUGCUUCAGAGUUUGAUGCUCUCUGCAUCAUAAAGCAUCUAAAAGCCUCAGAAGCAUCAGGUGAGUCAAAGAUUAACAGCUCAGAAGCAUCUGCAAUCAAACUUUCCCAAUCCGGAGUUUCAGUUUUCCCCUGAACAUUAUCAUGCAUCUUCUGCAGCUCCAUUCCAUUAUCCUCACAAGAACCAUCCUCUCCUCGAGUAGGAGCGUAAGGAACAAGCGAAAGAUCAGUAGUAUUUCCACCACACGGUGAAGCAACGGAAUCAUCAAGAUUCGUUUCAACUGAAGCUUCUUCUCGCAUGCAAUCAUCUAUGUUAAGACCUUUUGUAUCUUCUCCUUCUGCUGGAACUUCUUCAUGAGAAGUAGACUCGUCUUCUUGAGAUUCAACGGAAUUGGUAGGAUCAGAAGAAGAAGAGUUGUGAGUUUUGAAGAAUCUGGAUUCUUUGUGAGAAGAAGUUAGGUGAGGUGAAGUGAAAACAGAGGGAGGGGAAGUGAAAUUCAGAGAGCUAAAUUGGUUAGGAUUUGGUAUGGAUCUGACUGGUCUUAUUGGAGACAAACUGUUUAUGUAAUUGAACACUGGAGAAUCCUGCAUUUUCAGACAAAACACAAAAAGGGGAAGAUUAUGAAUCUUAUUUUGGUACUGUAAUUAAGGUUACAGAUUCCAAUUAAAAGAAUCUUAUGAGACAGAACAGAAACAAAAGUACAGAUCUUUUAGCGAAUUAGGGAUAAAUAAUCAUAAUAUGACAGAAACAACUAAACCAUCAGAUUAAAACAACUAAAAUUUGCAUUAUAAUUAUGAAUCUUUUUUGUACCAUUAAGGUUACAGAUUCCACAAUUCAAAGAAUCUUAAGAAAAACAGGACAGAAACAAAAAGUAUAGAAUUUGUAGUGAGAAUUGGAGAUAACUGAUCAUAAUUAACAACACUUCACUGUAACAUGUGAAACAACUAAAACCGUCAAAGUCAAACAAAUCUAAAACCAGUUACAGUUAUGUCUUUGAACUAACUGCAUUGACUUCAAACACAAAACCAAAGUACUUUUUUUUUUUUUUUUGUAAAAAAAUGAAUUGAAUAAUUGGUCCAUUAAACCUAUGAAAUCUGAAUUUCUAUGACAAUAAAUUAGAAAAGAAUUCAGAGAAAUCUGAUAAUUGGCACAAAAAAACAGCAAAACAUUUCAUUAAAAUACAAAAACACAGAACUUUGACCAAACCAAUUAUUAGAGUUAUACAGAAGAAGAAAAACCUCGAAUCUGGAUUUGGAAAUUGGAGUUCCGAUCUGAGUAAUACUCUUCUGAGGGGUAUCCAUUUUCCAACACACAAACAAAAAAAAUCACAUCCACAAACACAGUGUCACUCUCUCUCUCUUUCUUAUCUCUGAGGAAAGUCUCAGUCUUUUAUUAAGUUUCUCUCUCUCUCUCUCUAUAUAUGUCUUUAGUGGAAGAAGAAGGAGGAGGAGGAGAGAUAUUCAAACAAUAGCAAAGGCGGGAAAUGGGGACUAUGUCAGAAAUCAGACCCACCACUACUAUCAACUUUGCCCUAACACCUGUCUCUCUUUCUCUGUAUUAUAUACAACAAGUGUCUCUAUGUAUCUGUGUAUGUAUAAGCAGUGAAUAAUGAAUCUUUGAUGCUUUGCUUUGUCUGCAAUCUAAGUCCAAGUAUAAGUAAUAUACUCUCUCUCGAUUCCUAAACCUUUUAAUAAAGUAACGGACAUCAGUUUUUUUUUUCUUUUCCCUUUUUUCUCUUUUUUGUUUUAGUUAUUAUUAGUGGACAGAAAAUAAUAGAAUAAGGAAUUUGAGAAUUUUACAGUUCUAUUAUUCACUGCUGCUGCUUCUCUUUUGUUUCUAUGCAAUAAAAAAAAAAUUUGUUUUCUCUCUUUUGUUAGGUGGUUUAUUUACAAUGCAAUUUGCCACUAAGUACUAACAAUGAAUACGUCUUUGUUUUUAUAACGUUGAAAGUCUUUUUUUUUGUUUAAUAACGUUGAAAAAACCAAGUCUUAGUUCAUGCACGCUUAAUAUGUCUCUCUAUACGCUAUAUCAUAAUUUUAUGGAUUUGUUAGCAAACAAAAAAAUAAAAUUACCCGAAACAGUAAUGCACGCUUUUUAGUGCAUAAGAGGAAAAAAAAGAAGAGAGAAUUAAAAGACUGACGACUGACAGAGAGGAUUGUUUAUGGUCAGUAGCACAUUAUAAGGCUAAAACUGGGAGAAUUAUAUAUCAGUAGUCACUAGAUUUGCUAAUCACGAGAAAGCGUUUAUGGUCAAUUAUUCAGAAUAAUAAAUUAUGAUUUACACUAAUGACUAAAUAACGCUCGAUAAAUCAUGUACAUUAUUGCAUAAAAUUGCCUUUUCUUGUCAUAGACAUUCUUGUACCAAUCUGUUUGACUCAAAUAGUUUCUCUCUUACAAAUACUUUGUAAUUAUUUGUACACGCUUCUAACAAAUAAUUAAGAUCUACCUAAAAGAAAUGAUUGCAUGUGUCUAUUAUUUUUGUACACUAAAACUGUCUCCAUGUGAUCAUUAGAUCAUGAAAGUCGGUUGUAUAUACACAUUUUAUGUUUUAUCAUUCACGAUCAUAACAAAAAUAGGAGUAACAUGAUUACUGUGAUCUAAAAUGUGGUAAUUAAAAUACAAAGUGCCGGGCUAUGGUAAUAAAAAUAAUUUCAUCUUUUCACGUAUUAUAUUUUAAAUGUUUCCACUAAAACAAGAUAUUAAUAAAAAUAGCCAAAAACAUGCCUUCCCCGUGAACGCCUUUAAAGUUUAAAAGACCUAAGAAUUUAAUAUAAAAUCGCCGGUGGGGUUACGUUUUUGUUACUACGUGAUUUUUUACCGAAUUUACAUUUAUAUCCAUGUCCUUAUCUAGGAGCCAUCAUGUUCCCCCAUGGGUAUUUUCGGAAUUAACAAAGUGACAGCUAGGCGUUAUGUGACAAUGGGCGGGAAAAUGGAUUUAUAACGAAAGAGUAGUUCAUGUACGCUGUGGUUUACUUUGUUAUGGUGCGCUAUUGAGAUGGUGGGAUCUAAUGGAUGGUAGACAGACACGUGGAUGGACGUUGAGUCGUUGACUUAAAUUGGCUUCGCAAGUUACGGUGUCCGAACGUCGAACUACGUGGACAUGUAACCCAGAUCUUGUGUCUACCAUCCAUUCUCUUUGCAUUGGUCAAAGAGAGACCACACGACGAAAAUGGCAUAAUAAUUUCUGUUCGAAUGUUUUUUUUCGUGAUAUAAGAUUUACUUUAAAACGAUAAUUGUAUGAAUUCUGUUCGAAUUACAUCAUUAUCGAAUAUAUAUUGUUGUAAAUAGUCUAAUUUAAAAAAAAAUAAAAAAUUGUCACUUUAUUAUUAUGUAAAAGUGAUGUCGUAACAAAUUUAUAAAUAAAUUAAAAAAAUAGAAAAAAAAUAGAAAUAAAUAUCGAUUAGGAGGAAGAUAAAUAGAGAACUGAACAAAACCAAACCAAAUCGAUAAUUAAGUGUCAUUACUUAUUCUUCAGUCCUUUGUAGUUUGUAUCAUCUUGUCUGCUAUCCUUGUAAUUUUUAUGCUUUUUACAUAUUCUACUUGUAAUCUUUUUAAAAUUAAAGAAGGAUGGAAAAGAAAAGGAAAUAUAAGGAUAACUAAAUUAAGAAAACAUACAUUCAUACAAAAAAUGAAAAAUAAAACAAUGACAUAUGUAAAACAUAAAUACAAACAAUUAGAAGUUGAUUUUAGUAUGUUAUUUUAUUUGAUAAUACAUUAUUUUAAAUAGAGUAAAACUUUUAUAAAUCAAUACUCGAUAAAUUAACGAUCUCUAUAAAUUAAAAAAUUAUUUCGAUCUGAGUUGGGACAAGUGUAAAAAAAUAUUAUAAAUCGAUAAUUUAAAAAAACGGUUUAAAAAAAAAAUCUUAUAUAUGUAGACAUCUUAUAUAUUACAAAUAUCAUAAAAUAAUCUGUAUAAAUUCAUCAGUGUACAUAUAUGUACAAAUUAAUAUUGUUAUAUAUAUAUAUAUAUCAUAGUAAUUAAUACAUGUAAAUAUUUUGUGAAAUAUCACUCUAAUAUUGUUUGUUUUUCCUAAAUUUGUAUUAAUUCUUGGUAAAAUUAUUUUUUAAUACUUUUAUUACAUCAAAAAAGUUCGUGUUGUUUUCUAAACUAAAGAAUUACUUUUCUACUUGUAAUUGGUUUUAGAAAAAUAUUGAUUACAGUGAAAAAAAACUGUUCUUCAUAUAGAUAUUUUUUUUAGAAUUACAAAACUAGUAAAAUCUCUCUUCAAAUUGAUAAUUAUUAAUUUAGUUAUGAUUUUGUCAUCAUACAGUUUUUGUUUUGUAAAAUUAGGCUAUCUAUCUAAUUAACCAUGUAUUUUAUUAAUACUAAGAAUUUCUUAAUAUUUCCUCCAAAAAUUGAAACACUCUAACAGUAUUUGGUAUUUGGGCAUUGGUAAGGUCAUAAAGUUGUAUUCACAAUUAUGAAAAAUGGGGUGUUUUCGUGUUUGUUGGUUUUAAGUAGGAAUGUUGAAAAAUGUGUCUUUUGACAUAUGUGUUUGUUGGUUUUAAAGUAGGAAUGUUGUACGGUUAGGUGGUGGUUAUAUUGGUGUAAUGUGAGAGGGACAUUUUUUUCUAAGCAUAUAUAUAUGCUUCCUUUGUAGUCUUGAGGCCUAACUCACGAUCAAAAAAUUCAAAUUAACUUUACGUUUUAUGUUGAUAUAAGAUGGGCUUGAACGAAACGGAUUGAGUUAGUCUAAAGUCUAAACAAUAAUCCGUAACUAUAUAUAAUUAUUAAAAAUAAUGUGGUGAAAUGUCGACAUUUAUAUAUGGCUAAGAUCACUUAUAAUUUACAAUAAUUGCAAUCAUUCUAGCUAGAGUCAUAUACUGAUUUAUCUUUGUUCGUUGGAUCUCACAUAAGUGAUAUUUACUAACACCCAUUGAUAAGGUAGGUAGCUAGAUUGAACCCAAUCUUUAUAGAUGUCAAACAACUUAAAAAUGAGUGCUAGCUACAUAUAGAACUAUUAGUGACUUUGUGGCCAACCACUGGGUUGAUUUUUUCUUUUUGUAAAUGUUAUAUAUCAAUAUCGGUGAGUAAUCUUUAAUCCCGUACGUAAACAGAAAAUGCAGCUGAAUGACGAAUUGCUUUUAGUAAAAUGAUAGUGAAUUCCCUAAUUAUUCAACACUAUAAGUAAAUAUCGUUGGUACACAUGCAAUGAUGCAGAUUUACCAAGAAAGUAAUACAUAUUAAUAUAGAUGCUGCAAAUCCAGGAAAUGCAUAACGCGAAAAAAUGUCGUAAAUACACCGAAAACAAAAGGAAAACAAUUCGUAAAAAUAGCAAAAAUGAUAUGGAAAAUUGAAAGAAUUAUAACAAAAAUAGAAAAUAUGGACUAGAUUAUUGAAUAAAUUGUAGUCUCCAAAGUAAUACAUAUGGAGAGAAGGAAAAGCAAAUUCUUCUGGCAUAAAGAAGCUCCAUGCUAAAAUCAUAAUGUCGACCAAACAUGCUGCCUGCAAGAUCACGUGCCUACAUGCCACAUCACGUGACCUAAAACACAUAAGAAAGAUAUCCUUCGUAUGUAAGAAAACAUAUUAAAUUAAACGCAAUACAUUGAGUCUUUACAUAUAAUUGUUAGUAUUUAUAAACUAUUAUAUAUAAAGUUGUUAGUUGAACUUUUAGCGAAUGUCAGGUAGCUUGAUACUUAGUGGCAGAUCAUUAGUCAAAGAUUAAUAAAGAAUUAAAGACUAUAAAACAAAUAAUUAUUUACAUUUUGAUUAGUACGUAAGUCAAGAUCCCUCUCAAUGCUUCUCACAAAAUGACUAUAAGAAAAAGCCAAAGGUACCAAAGUCAUUAUUUAGUCUCAUAUGUUUGUAAGGUGAAUCUUUAUUUUUUUUUUGUAUAAUAAGGUUAUGACUUAUGAAUCGAACUAAAGCUAUUAAAAAAAAUAUUGCUCGGAACAAAAUGUCUAGUUUCUUGAAUUGUUGAAUUAUAAUGGGAUAUUUUUUGGAGAAUUAAGGAUUUGUUAGUUUUAGAAGAACUUAGGGAUGAAUGGUUUAGCCUUUGGAAAGUCGACAAUUGAACCAGUUCGGUGGUCUGGAGUAUAGCUCCGAGUCGAGCUAUCCUAUAAGGAGAAUUUUAAAAAACUAUCGCUGGUCGAGGACUUUUAUAGUUGAGGACAUGAGUCCGUUGCAACAAACAAAUGAUAUCAUCAAACAAUAACAUAUUAACAUGGUACGUGAACAGAUGAUUCUCCAUAAGAAUAAAUGGAGGAGUGUCUUUCUAAAUAUUUACUGACGCUACAAAAUUACAAAACUUGCUGAAAGCUUUGGAAUAAAGAUAAAUAAACAUAGUUUGUUUAAAGUCAUAGAAAAAUUAAUAUGUGACGACUCGGCCGUAUAUUUGAGUUAGCUUAGUAAAAAAAAAUGAAAGAUAUUAUAUAUAGCCAUUUAAAAAAAAGAGAUGAGAUGCUUACGGGAGAACUUUAAGUUGAUUGCUUGAAGACCGAACCCAUAUGUUAAGCUAAAAUUAGAUGUUUUGAUGAAACAUAUAUCGGGUACUUCAUGCUUCAUGCUUGAGCGUUUGAAUGCAUGAAAGCUAGACUCGUUCGGCCUAAGUGCGGGACUAGCCGAUCUUGGAUUUUUUUAAAAAAAUAAUUAAUAACAAGUUUAUAUGAAUUAUAUUGCAUAUUAUGAUUUUUUCUAAGUGUCUUUUGAUUGCGAGAUGUCUACGUAUCGUUUUGUGAUUCACAAUCCUAACUCAAUCAAGAUUUCUGUGUCGAUUUUUUACGCAUGUAUGAAUUAGAUAAGUUUGUAGUUGACAAUUAUUUUUUGAAAAACGGUAUUUUCUCGUAAUAAUUUUUUUGUCCAUUCCUCUUAGAUUGAUGUGAAUAAUUGUAAUAUAUAUUUUUGGGCUGACCUUGGACUUUGCAAGUCUCUCGUCUUUUCUCUUUAAGUACAAAAAAGUUGGUAUGCAAUUCUUUUGACUUAUGUACUCACGAAUCAAGGUGAAUUUCAACUUUUUCAUUUUUUCAUAUCAAUAUAUUGAUUUCAAUAUAACAAAGUGGAGCCACGCCGAUAUAUAUAAUAUUAAGACUUGUUUUUCUUUAUCACCAAUGUCCGGCUCCUUGAAGAGAUAAACAAACCAUGUUAUAAAAAGAGGAUGUCUAUUUGAGCUUUUUAGAUGAUAAUAUAUGUUUUCUAAUAGCUAGUGUUCGAAGGUGAGAAUGUUAUGUUUAUAUAUAUCACAUCAUCCCCGAUUUCUACUUUGGAUCUUAAAGAAAUAAUACCGUUCACUCAUAACCGGAUAAGUGGAAGCUGUUAUUCACUAGAUAUGGUAUAUUGGUAUUACUAUUAACCUUUUGAAGUCAAGUGGAGAUUUAACUGCAAUAAAUUUUGGUCAUACCAGAUACAAUGCUAGAUAAUAAAAGCUUGACAUGGUUUUCUAAAUGUUAAUGGUUUUGAGAGCGCGUACAUAUGUAGAUUGAUGAAUGGAAGCUUGACAUGCUUUGGUCAAAGAAAGAACUGCAACUAAUAAUUUGAUAUUGGCUAUUAUAUUAAGGUGUUUAGACCAACUAUACUACUUAUAGGUUUAUGAAGUCAAAUGUUUUUGACUUUUCAGUAAGAUAUACAUGUACAUGUCAAUCUUACGUAUAGAUGUGUAUUGCGACACAAAACAAUAUAUUUAAGAUUGGGUUUGAUCACAUCUUGGACCGGGCUCCUUCAAAACAAUUUAUGUUUGUUUGUAUUGUAUUUUCAACUUUUUAAAAAAAAAAUAGUUCAAAAAAACUUGGGAACCCCGGGAAAACAUGUACACACGGGUUCGUGGUAAGAUUUUUUAGAAAUUACCUAAACAUAAUAGUUUGAAUGGUUUCUAUAUGUUAAAUGUAUUUCAGUAUGAACCCAAGUGAUAAGGCGCAAUGGUAAGUUGGGAUACAUUAUGUAGACACUUCAGUGUGUACGUUGGAUUUCUCUACGUACUAAAAUCUUUAGUAUAAAGAUAUUUAUUUCGUAGACUUACUGGUUUGUCAAAGUCUUAAGUACCGUUUGAACCGAUCAAGCAGGCGACUAAAUCUUCUGCCUUAAGUUUUUAUGGGUCUUAGUUUGGGCCAUCCAUGUAAAUUGGGCCUCAAGAUCUCAGUUUGUAGUAUAUGACAAGCCUUAACAUUUGAUAACAUAUGUACUCAAUUUAAAAGAAAACUAUUUUGUUUUUGUUCAAUGGCUAAUAAUAUGUAUUUCCUGCCAAAUUAUAAUUUUAUAUGUAUGCAUUAUCAUACAUUAUAUAUGCAUUUAAUAUUUCUAUAUUAUAUAGACAUAUUUUUCUUUUUUAAAAUGUUAAAAUAUUACAAAACUGAAGAUAUAAAUGUUUAAUUCUGUUUAGAUAUAUAUUUCAAACACAAUAGAUAUAUACAUUAUCAAAUAGUGGAUAUACACUUUAAUAUCCUACGCGAUAUAGUUGGAAAAAAUAUAGAAAACAAGAAGAUAAAGAUUACCAUAGAUUUAAUCUCUUAGAUCUUUAGAGAUUAAAACCUAAUUGAAAAUUCAAACAAUUAGAAGGUAUUGAAUUUAAUAUUUUCAAUAUCUCUAAGAACAGGUCUACCAAUAGCAAAACACAUAAUCCAAUUUUUGUUUUUAAUUCAGUUUUUUGGAUAUGAUUUAGAUGGGAACGAUUCAAUUUAUCAGAUAGAUUAAAAAAAUAAAUGUUUUUAUGAUAUUUACUUCCUAUUUUAAAAAAUCCAAAAACCAAAGAUAUGUUUUGAUGAUAUUUCUUUAAGAAAUAUUUGAGAGAAAAAAACAAAUAAAUACGUAUCCUUAAAAGAAGCCUGAAAGAAACAGCUUCUGUUCCGUCUUUCACUCUCCAUCUCUCUUCCGUCGUUUCCUAAGUCCUUUUCUCUUAUUUAGAGAUUCUCUCUUUUCAUCCAAAAAAAAGGAGAGAUAUUUCAGAAACAAUCCUCUGCUUCUGGAGAUAAAUCUCGCUCUUUUAGCCUCAUAAUCCAAAACCCACCAUUAAAAAUCCUCUCUUUCGUUCCCUUUGAACCCAUCAAUUUCAGUUUGCUUAUUACGUCUCUGUUCUCUGCAUGUCCUUGUGGUUGAUACAGCUGACUUUUGGUUUUGUCGUUUAUGUUAAUUGAAUUUUAAUAUUUGAUCAUCGUUGUGCUAUAUUAGUGGUUAACGAGUCGUUUUCUUAAGGUUUACUUUUUCGUAUUGUCACGUUAGAUUUUUUAGGCUACAAUUGUAGAGAAAUUCAUUAUCUGAAUGUCAAACCAUGUGCAUGAUCUUUGAGAAAGUUUGGUGAUUAAUAGUUUCUUCAUUAUUAAAGCUGCCUUUGUUUAACUUAGCAAUCAUAAGAUUGUUUUUGAUAACUUUUGUGUGAUUUAACUAUUCACUAGUAAUAAUCUGAAAAAAUUAGUACUAGAUUUCAUGAUGAUGAUGAAAAGAUUGAUGAUUUGAGUCACAAAAUCUUGUUUUUUGAAAGUUGUGUGAUCUUCUUGUUUGCAUAGUGAAUUAGUUUUGAUUUGAAAAGAUUUUAAGUAAUGGAGAAGAAAUCAGAAGAAGAUGGGAACAACACGACGAAAGAAAAGAUCUUUAGAGCGGAUAAGAUUGAUUUGAAGAGUUUAGAUAGACAGCUUGAGAAACAUCUGAGUAGGGUUUGGUCGAGGAACCUUGAGGUGAAUCCUAAAGCUAAGGAAGAAUGGGAGAUUGAUUUGGCUAAGCUUGAAACAAGUAAUGUUAUUGCUCGUGGUACUUAUGGUACUGUCUACAAAGGCAUUUAUGAUGGACAAGAUGUUGCAGGUAAUAAUAAUAAACUAAAUCCAAAAUCUUGAUCUUGACUUAUGUUUUUGUUAGAGAUUGUGACUGUGUUUGAGUAAUUUGCAGUGAAGGUGCUUGAUUGGGAAGAUGAUGGGAAUGAAACAACGGCCAAGACCGCUACAAAUCGAGCUUUGUUCCGUCAAGAGGUCACUGUUUGGCACAAACUCAACCAUCCAAAUGUCACAAAGGUUAGUUGGUUAAUAAGUUAGUUAGUUAAUUCACUGAAUUGAGUAUUGAAAUAUUGAAAUGAAACAGUUUGUUGGAGCGUCGAUGGGAACAACGAAUCUUAAUAUACGAUCAGCUGAUUCGAAAGGCUCGUUGCCUCAACAAGCAUGUUGUGUGGUUGUGGAAUAUCUUCCUGGUGGAACAUUGAAACAACACUUGAUUCGUCAUAAGAGCAAGAAACUCGCUUUUAAAGCCGUUAUCAAACUCGCUCUUGAUCUCGCCAGAGGGUAAUUAAUUAGUCUUUUGACACUGCUAAUCUUUUUCAGAUUUGUGCAAACAAACAUCUUAUUGUUGUUCUUACUGCAGGCUAAGCUAUUUGCACUCAGAGAAGAUUGUCCACCGCGAUGUGAAAACAGAGAACAUGCUUUUGGAUGCUCAGAAGAAUUUGAAAAUAGCGGAUUUUGGAGUAGCACGAGUGGAAGCUCUUAAUCCAAAAGACAUGACAGGAGAAACCGGUACUCUUGGAUACAUGGCUCCUGAGGUAAAACUAUAACCUUUUUUUUUGUUCUCUCUGUUUUCAAAACUGAAUCGAAUUUAACUUAGUGUUGUGUUUAGGUCAUUGAUGGUAAGCCAUACAACAGAAGGUGCGAUGUUUACAGCUUUGGGAUAUGUUUAUGGGAAAUCUACUGCUGCGAUAUGCCUUAUCCUGAUCUUAGCUUUGUCGAUGUUUCUUCCGCGGUUGUCUUACAUGUAAGUUUUUGACCUAAGAAAACCCUAGCUAGUUUUCCUUGAUACUUACGUAAUGUCGAAUUCUGAAACUUUUUUUCUAUGGUUUUAAAAAAGAAUCUGAGACCGGAGAUACCGAGAUGCUGUCCGACUGCAUUGGCGGGCAUAAUGAAGACAUGUUGGGAUGGGAAUCCGCAGAAACGGCCGGAGAUGAAGGAGGUGGUGAAAAUGCUUGAAGGUGUUGAUACCAGUAAAGGUGGCGGAAUGAUACCGGAAGAUCAAAGUCGGGGCUGUUUCUGCUUUGCUCCUGCUCGUGGACCUUAAAUUUCCCUUUCUACCUCUGUUUGGUUUUAUUGUCUUGUUUUUGUCGACAUUUAACUGAAUGCCCCUUUUGCUUCUUCUCCAAGAAACUUCUUUUAACAAGAUUUGUUAAAUAAAUUAUUUUGAUCAUUGUGAAUCUAGUCAUUGUGUUUUUUUGUUUUAUAAUGAUUAGGAGGUUCUUGACCCGUGGAUCUGAACAUUAAUCCGCACGACGGUAGACAAAUCAUGUAUUUUUUUUUUUUCUUUUAGAGAGCAAACUUUUACCGACACGAAUCGAACAUGUGAGAUUCAAGGUCUCUACGUUGUUCACAAACUAAAUACUGUAUCGUAAAUCUAAAGUCGUGUGGGUUUGUAAGAAACGGUUAAAAACACUUGUAAAAUUUUGACUUCAAAGUUCACCCUCAACCAGAAAUACUAGAGCAACUCAUCAUUGGUUUCUCAAGUUCUUUAAAAAAAAUAUUGCUUUAAUUAUAGUAAAAAUUGUGCUUCUAAAAAUGGAAGCCGAUUCUACCGAUCAUUUUGACUUGGCUCAUCCUUAUUUUCUCAAACUUAUCGGAAAAGUUAUGUUGUUGUGGUUAUUGUAUAUAUACUACCGGUGUUUACAAGUAACAACAAUAAAAUAUAUUUGUUACGAGAAGUUGACAAAAAAAAAAAUUUGGCCAAAUAAUAGAGAGAAUAUUUAUCAAUAUUGAAGCAUGAGGUGUACUACUUUGAUUAUGGUUUCUUUUGUUGUCAGCUGUUUGCUUCUAAGCCUUGUUGAAGGUAGUAUAUUAAUUUCUUUUAUUGGUUGUUUCAAAUAACAAAAAGUAGUGUUGCAAAACGAGAAAGCAGCUCAAGAAUAUGACGUAACUUAAAACUAUGGUAUUACUAAUUGCUUAUAUCUUUAUAACCUAAAUAUAUAUUUUGAUUGAUAAAAAAUUAGAAUCGGAAGCUGGAGCACCUCCCGUAGAGUGUUGGAGUGAGAUCCUAUUUUCUGGAAAAUGCGGGUUUCAUGGAAAGAAGAAAUGCUACAAAGAAAUGGAAUCUAAGCUAAAACAACGUGUUCUUAAAUGUAGAUGUGAGGAUGUUAAAAAAGAUUCCAAUACAUCUAAGGACGAACAUUACUGCGGAUGUCAAAGAGAAAAUCCCUAUGAGUGUAACUAAAAUCUUUUAAAAAUUUCAGCUAUCAAUACGAAAAUUUGUUUACUAAUUAAGAAAUAACAAAAUAAAAACUACGUACACGAGUUUUUGGUGUAGACGACAGUAUGGUAAGCUAAUGUUUUUUUCUUCUUCUGAAUAAUAAGUAGUUGUCAUAGAACUUCAUUUGUAUAACUAAUUUCAGUCAUGUAAGAAUCUAUAUCAUUUGUCGCUUUGUUGUCUUAAAACUGUUUAAAUCUAAUAUAAAGAGAGCUUUUGUCCAAAUAGCCUUCCACCGUGGAGGACUAGAAUGUGCUCCAUGCCUCCAUGAUGAAGUGAGAGAGAUCGCUAUAAGAGUACGUUUCUUCUUUAUGCAUUUUGUGAUCUACAUUACAAAAUUAAAGGUCAAAAUUCAAAAAAGAAAGAUAUAAAGAAGUCGAGACAAAACUUAUUUCAUCAUCAAAUUCAACAAAAUAAACUGAUUCACGCUAUUGCUACAAAGUGACUUCAUAUCUGAAGUAAAAACAAUAUUAUGGAAUGCAUGUGACAAAUAUUAUUAAUGCAUUUCUUACAUCUUAAAGCAUGUCAUGUUUAACGAAAUGAUAAAAUGAACAAAUAAAUCAAAUGGUUUAUCUACUGUUAAUGACAAUUUUUGAGUGCACCAUUAUCAAAUACUGUUAAGAUCUUGUCUUUACUUUUUUCCUUGGUGAACAAACCAACGAGAAGAACAAGACAAUUGUCCAACCAAACUUGAAGUUUAUUCUGAGAGUUUUUGCCGCCUUAGAUAUCGUGAGAAGCGGGCAGGAGAGUUUAGUCUAUUUCCCUCUAAGAAUUGCUCAAUCAAUCUGUAAAAUUCAAUGUUUCUUUGAAUCAAAACGUCAAGCAAAGCAGAGGAAAAGAUAAUGCCGUUUUCUAAUUCUAGCUACUUACAAAUUGCAGAUUGACUUUUGCGAAGCUGCUACUUCGCGGUCAGGAAAAGAAUCCUCUAGCCUUAAGCUUAACCAUACGUACAGAUCCAAAACCUGCUCAAUCGUCAUCUAGUUAAACUAACAAAAUCCACAUUUUCUCUCUUGAUUUUGGUUAAUGAACAAUUAAGAUCAUAAUGAGAUUAAACCCAUCUAUUGCAAUAUGAGCUUCGAAGAUUCUGUUUUAUCACGAGUUUUUGAAUAAAAUACAUACACUUCCUUUGAUCACUACUCAUAGAGGAAAAGAAAGAUGUUACCUUGUGAAUGGAUUCAAGUUCCUUGAGUUCUGUAGGUGUUUUGGGAACCUUCACUCUGUCAGGUGCAAGUAUCUCCCGGAGCCUCACAAUGCCUGCCUUCGAGAAGUUUUGAGCAAACUAAUGUACAAAGAAAAAAAAGUAAAAGUGAACAAUUUUUUUGCAGACAUAGAUACCUUUAUUGAUAUCUCAAAAUAAAAAAGAUAAGAGAUUCAAGUUUUUCACCUGUGCAAGUCCCUGACCUGAAAUUUCGUCAUUUACAUCAACUGGACUGCACAUAAGUAACAUUAGAUCAGUCUAAGCUGGUAUAUAUUUAAAUCUUAUUGGAUGCAGAAAACAAGAAAAGACGAAAAUAUGUUAUUUUUGCUAUUACCUGACCACGAAAAGAUACUUCUCUUGCAAUCCGAGGGGUAAUUCAUCAACAAUGGCAGCAACUUUCUGAAAAUCAAGACCAACAUAUGUGUUAAGAAAACAUUCUCUUUCUGAUAUCUGAACAAAACUACAUCAUAGCUGAGCUUUACCAUCAUGUCUUCAACAUUAGAGAUGAAGUAGUUUGAAGACAGCUUAGCAUUUUCAACAAAAUGUUCCUGCCAAAGUUAAUGAGCCAUGAUUUCAGAUCCAUUCAUAAGGACCGAAGGCGAGAAUAACGAAGGAAGAAAAUAUAUCUUACCAAUAUCUGGUACAACCCGUGUGUAGGGUGUGCUUGGGAAUACCCAGAUAGGAGGUCAAAUGUUGGAAAUAGUCCAGCACGCUGCAUGAUAGGAGUUUUGUGUAAACUUAGACAAGCUUAAGAAGGAACAGAUGUAGAGAACUAAUCUUAAUGCCAUAAAUUUGCCUCAAGAAUAGGUGAUGGAGACUUGAGAGAAGAGUGAAGCAACGGAAGAUCCUCUUUGUGCAAACAAGUUACUUCGCCAAUAGGGAACUUUGAUUGAAACCUGCCAGCUCUCCCUACAACAGGAUCAUCAGAACAUUAGAGAGGACAUACCAAUACUCUUGAUGUAUUAUUUGGUGCUUUUUGUUGAAAAUUUACCUGCAAUUUGUUUAAUCUCAGAUACUGUUAGGUCUCUGGUCUCGGAACCAUCAUAUUUUUGAAGGGUCGAGAAGAUAAUCCUUGAAAUAUUCAAAUUAAGACCCAUGCCAAUCGCAUCGCUGGCAACAAGCACAUCAAAGUCAUUGGUCUCAUCGUUAAACCUUGUUGCCUGCAGAUUUUAAAGCAUUUGGAAACAAAAAAAGAUAAUUCUUAGAGCAUCCAGUUAAGCCUAUAGCCAAGACAGUAAGGAACUCAAACCUGUGCCGUGCGAGUCUCUGGAGGCAACGAACCAUAAACCACAGAGCAAAGAUGCUUCCCCGCACGUUCAAUUGUUUUCUACGAAAAGGUACCAAAAAAAAGAGUAAAGAAUAUGUAUGGAAGCAUUCAAUACUCAUGACGCGUAGAGAAUAGAGCUAUGUAUGCAUAUAAUAUGAUGCCAAAAUGUUCUAUUUCUUUCGCAGCAAACUCAAGCAGAAAAAAGCAAAAUACAGGAAGAGAGAACAAGAUAAGUAACUGCUAACCUUAUACGCAUAUAUAUCUUUUCGGGAAAAAGUGACAAGACAAUCCCCAGUUUUAAUACUGGAAACUGAUGAAACAGGAACCUUCAAAGGGACUAAUGGUGAAAGCCUCUCAUAGGUAUGAACCUGAAUUCAAAAUAAAAGGGAUCAAGAGGUCGUGAUUACAUCAAGAGUAUUGGUAUUUAAUUAUAAACAAGAAAUAAUUAGAGAAGAAAAAGGGACUCUAGCUCGAAUAAACAUGAUACCUCGACAUCAUCUCCAGUUACUUUCAGUAUAUCUUCAACAAGAGGUACGACAGCUGGAUCGCCACAUAAAUGUAGCUCAUCAGCCGCGAUUCCAAGUAAAGCACGAGUAAAUGCAAAUCCCCUUUGUUUACAUCCCACCAUCUGAAAUUAGGGAAAGAAAGGAUGAGAAUAACAAACAAAAAGUUCUUGUCGAUUUCUUAAGCCAAAGUCGAGCAAGACUAGCCUGAAUUUCGUCAAUGAUGGCACAAUCGUAGACAGAUGUAACAUCAGCCAUUUCAACUGUCACAGCUUUGUGUGUUGCCCCUUCCACUAAGUCUUUCUCUUGUCCCGUGAUCAAAUCACAUGGAACAUUUGCUUUGUUUAACCGUUUAGCUACCUCCCAUGCCAACAAUCUUAACGGACCACAAUAUACACCUUCAAGUGAAAGAAGCAAAUUUUAAACAGUUCAAGAACUGGCUUCCAAAAGGUUUAUUAGUCACCUUCAAGGCAUACCUGAAGAACUCUGUUCAAGGUGCUUAAGGGCACUAUAUGUCUUCCCGCUGUUUGUCGGGCCAACAUGUAGAAUGACCUUACGCUUCUUCUUCCGAGCUAUAGGAUACCAUGUAUGAGGACAGCUAGAAUUCAAAGUAAUGACAGAAAUAUAAAUCAGUUCCUCUUUACUAAUCUCUCCACAACAACAAUGGAACUGCAAAGAGAAUCGCAAUUAGUUGCUACUGGGGAGCUAACAAAAAAAUUCUACAAGAAGUUUUACUCUUACGUGAGAUCAGUGAAAUCGAACUUUGAGGUGGUUCCAGUGCCAGUGAAAUCAAACUUUGGAGAUCCAGAGUUCUUUCUAUAAUUCCUAGUCAAGACACCUAAUCUCAAAAGGUCACCAAACUCAGGUUCAAAGUGAAACCGCCACAAACUUCCUUUAUCAGCUGAAACAUUAGGCAACACGAAGCCAUCAUAAGAUACAACGUUAAACCAAUCCAAUCUUCUUCUAGACACUACACAGAAACAGAUGUAGAAGCUGCAAAGCUCAUAAAGGUUCAAACUUUCUGUAUCCAGAUGAUCAAAAUUUCUGAUAGUUCCUUUCUAAGAUCACUUACAAACUACAAUCCGCAAUUUCUAACCAAAAGAGAACCAGAAAACAGAGAAAAAAA
This 40150-nucleotide long non-coding RNA is filed under the name Arabidopsis thaliana (thale cress). The record is from RNAcentral. Lineage: Eukaryota; Viridiplantae; Streptophyta; Magnoliopsida; Brassicales; Brassicaceae.